This 301-nucleotide ribosomal RNA is filed under the name uncultured bacterium. Its description in RNAcentral is "partial 16S ribosomal RNA". It matches the Rfam family "Bacterial small subunit ribosomal RNA", at positions 509 to 808 of the family's 1533-position model. The record is from RNAcentral.
CAGCCCCGCGGGAAUACGAAGGGUGCAAGCGUUACUCGGAAUUACUGGGCGUAAAGCGUGCGUAGGUGGUGGUUUAAGUCCGUUGUGAAAGCCCUGGGCUCAACCUGGGAAUUGCAGUGGAUACUGGGUCACUAGAGUGUGGUAGAGGAUAGUGGAAUUUCCGGUGUAGCAGUGAAAUGCGUAGAGAUCGGAAGGAACAUCUGUGGCGAAGGCGACUAUCUGGGCCAACACUGACACUGAGGCACGAAAGCGUGGGGAGCAAACAGGAUUAGAUACCCGGGUAGUCCCUGUCUCUUAUACC